Limulus polyphemus (Atlantic horseshoe crab) is the source of this 4274-nucleotide long non-coding RNA. RefSeq lists it as uncharacterized. The record is from RefSeq and is a predicted model, not a curated record. The transcript has 2 exons. NCBI's taxonomy places the organism in Eukaryota, Metazoa, Arthropoda, Merostomata, Xiphosura, Limulidae.
AUAUUAGUUUAUUUAACUCACUAUUCAAACUUUUUUUUUCCAGAUGACAGUUGGACACUUACAGCUUCAACUUGGUGCUGUGAACAAUGAAGAUGGUAAAGAUCUAUGUGAAUAUGUCUCUGGCCUGAAAGCGGAGGUUGUUCGUCUGGAAACUAUGAACAAGAAAUUGACUGCUGCUGUUACUAGUCAAGCUUUACAAAGUCCAAGCAGUCCAGCCAGUAGUCUUUCAAAGGAUAGUUCACUGACCAACUUGAACAGUAUAUUAGAACUGGCCAUGAGUCACAGCAAUAGUUUCUGCGAUGAAUCUCUGAGUGAAUUUCUGCAUCUUGGAGUAGAUCAAUGUCAGUUAAGCAACAAAGAUUUGUUAAAUAAAAACACCAAGGUAAAUGGGGAGGCAGCUAGCUAUCUGUAACUUACCAUUAAUCAUAUAAUCUGUGCUCAUUGUACUUGCAUGAUGAAAUGUACAUAUAAGCUGGACAAGUAACGUUUAUAAUUUUCUUUAAGUUAUGAUGUAUAAGAAAUGUCUCUCCAGUAAACAUGGAUCUUGUUUUAUGCACAGUAUUUCAAAGAGUUUUGUAGUUAUUACUUUUCUGUACAUUUUUGGUGAGCAGUAUACUUACUAUAUAUCCAUUUAAGAUUCACUCAGAAUCAUAAUUAACCCAAAUUGCUCUCCUCCUUGCUUAUAUUGAGUUAAUAAUACAGCUUUUCGGGUACUUCAGAAUCAACUAUAAUUGUGCUUGUAUACAUUUUGUUCCAGUUGUUAAAUAGCUUCGUUCAUCACGUGUGUAGGUUGAUUUAAGUGGCUUGAACGCAGAGGGAUAUUUUUGUUGUGAGGUGUCAUUUAUUUAAUAUUACAUUUUGUCUUCACCAAAUAACUUUAAAAGUGUGCCUCCACACAAGUAUUUAUUUCUUUGUAAUAAUGUGCCGAUAUUGAUGAUACCAAAAUUAUCCCCUUUGUAAAAUUGCCCCCCCUUUUUUUUUCUGAAGUCAUAAAUUUCGUUGUGAUGUACUUAAAAUAUUUCCUGUAUAGAGUUAGAAAUAUUUCAGUAAACUCCAAAUUUAAUGUAUGCUAAAAGACUAUUUUUUUUGUUUUAUUUUAUUGGACUGUGAUUAUUAUAAUAUAACUUAUAGCUAUGGGGAUCCAUUAUUUCACACAGCAUAUAAUUAACAUUUAUUGGCAUCAAUAAGGUUUUAUUGUGUAUUAAGUGCUGUUGGUUUUCCAUAUGAUUCAGUCAAUUUAAGCGGAAUGUUCCGCAUUUUCCGCAGCUACUUUAUUUUUACUGGAUGAUAAUGAAACGUAUAAUUUACUGCUAUUAAAUUCUUUACGUGUAAACUUAGACACCGUUGAUUAUUCUAGAUGAGGAUUUGACCUGUAAUUCAUACACAUAGUAGUUUUUAUCAAUCUUAUUCAGAUUUCUGUUAUUUUAUUGGAUAAUAAUUAAAGUUUAAUACAUCUUUUGCCAAGUUUAUCUGUUUUAUUAAGUGUUCAAACAAGACUAUUUCAUUGCUGCUGGUAUUCAACUAAUAUAGUUAUCUGUUAUUUUACUGCACCAUAAGUUAAUAUACUAAUUCAAAACUGUGUUGCCCCAUUCGUUGAGUCAGUCCAUUUUUUUUCUGUUGAAAUAAUCUUUAAGUUUUUUUAUACGUUUAUGUUAAGAUUGCUUCAUGGUCAUCCCCAAUUUAAGGUAUGCUUAAUACAGUAUAUUUCAUAUGCAUAGCUAUCCAAGUGGUUUAAUCGCCAUCUAGUUACGAGUGAAUAUUAAAUUCUCAUAAUAACGAGAAAAUGUUAUUGUAUUAUUGCUUAUGUAAUGUACAAAUACUAUAUACUUUAUUAUAUGCUGAAAAAUAUAUUUAAUCUCUUGAAAAACUUUCAGGAAUUAAUAGGUUUACGAAGGAUUAAUGUACAUAGUGAUUUGUAAAGAAGUUAAAAGAACAAACUGAAAUUUAGGAUGAAACUAAACAUUUUAGCAUAUAAUUAUAACACAAACUCUUAAUAAUAAAUUAGAACCAACUUGAAAUACACAUACAGACUUGGGUCAUAGAAAUUAUUUGACUCCAGAUAAACCAAACUAUAAAAAGUAACUUAUUCUGUAUAAUUAUAUCAAUUUUAACUCAAAAUUUUACAACAGAAAAUGUUAAUAUACAUUUUUGAAUCAGUUAGAUAAUACUUUUCGUGUCCAGUGACAUAAUUUAAGAAAUCGGGAGUCAUUUCUUCAUAUUCCGUGACAUUUUUUUAUGCCUUACAUUGUAAAUGAGUAAUAUUCACGUGAUACUGAUUAGAAUAAGAACAUAAAAGUAUUUCUAAAGACGUAUCGUACUACAUAACGAAUGUAUUAUACCUUGUAUUUGACUUAACUUUGUUGUAAAAAUCACACCUUAUCUUCGUGCUGAAUAACAUGAAUGUUAUUUAAAGAAGGUUAAUACUUCUUAAAAUGGUGUUAUUCUUAAGUAUCUUGCAUAGAAAGCUAGGUGUUGUUUAUAGUGAUUUAAUAAGGGUAGUCAUUACAUUCGUUGGAAGUUAUUUUUAAUGUGUUUAACAUGUACUUUUUUACUCCAGAUUUAAUUUUUUAUAACUCUAAGCUUGAUUACUUUAAAGAAGAAUUAAACAAUAUUGUUACAGAGGUUGUUACUGUAGCACCACCGAGGUUCUUGUAGCCCAGUUCAUAAAUUUCACGAGUACUUUGUUAGCUGUCUGUGUACAGCAAUGGUCAAAAUACAAAUUUUAUUAUACAUGUUUAAUAACAAGGAAGAAUCAUUCUUUAGCUACAGUCAAAUCAAAUUUAAUAUACUUUCAACCUCAUAAGAUUUAUUUAAAAUGCUUGAAAUGUAUAAUAGCAACUGAUACAAUAACAUAUCUUCCCCCAGUGUGUUUAUAAAAUACUAAAAUAAAAAUUAACUGUAAAACUAAAACACAAUUGUAACACUGUGACGCUUAACAUACAAUCAUUUGGUGAUUUUGUACUUGAAUCAGGUAAAUAGUUCUUUGUGUCAUGUUGUAACUAUGACGAAGAUCACCUUGACUUGCAGAAUCUGUAUUAAUUUAGAUCUUUUGAAUAUUUGUUGAAACUUAAAAAUUUCAUGGAUUGAAAUUUGUGAGGCUGUUUAAUAACCUUAACAGAUGUGUUAUUAGUGGCUGAAAAUUCACCAGAAUGUGUGUUUAGUUAUCUGUUCUGAACACAGAAAGAAUACAGUAUUAUAUCAAAAAAACUAAAUAUAUAUAUAUAUACAUAAGUAAAUUGUUUUAUAUUUAUUAUCAUAUCACUUUCUUUAAUUCUUAUGCCAGUCUUCCAGAUAAAGUUUUGACACACUGUGUUCAAUAAUCUUUUAAAUAUAUUUAAGGUAAUUUUGGGUUCAAAAAAUUUUUCCAAGUUUAAUAUACCAGGUGUUGUAAUGAUUAUCUUAAUAUUUAUUAAUUAGAACUUUUUUUUCUACACGGAAAUAGUUUGUAUUAUAUUACUAAUCUAAGCCUAAAUCUAGAACAGAAGGAAAGCUGUGUUUAAUUCUAAAACUAAUUGUGGCAAAAAAAAAUUGUUUUUAUAGUUUUUCAAAGGUUUUAUAAUCUCGGUAUGAAUUUCUUAAAAUUUUUUAAUGAAAUGUUCUAUUUGUUUAGAAGGAAAGUUUACAUUUUGAUCAAGUCAGUAAGUUGAAUUAUUCAGUAAUUCUUAUUAAAAGUGUUAUUAUAUUUACACAGUGUAUAAACUUGGUGAAAUAUUUUAUGGCAAAACUUAUCAAAUUUUAUAAAAAACAUAAAAAUGAUUUAGUUCUUCACAUUUAAGAUUUUGUCUCUUCUAACAAACUUUCAAAAGAUAAAAAUAUAAGAUAGUAGUACUUAUUAUUAGAUUCUUAUGCCUUACCCCCUGUUUCGGGGAACUUGUAUUUUUUACCUCAUUUUCGUAGGGCCUGAUUUGUUUCAUACAGAAACUUGUUAUAAUUCUGUGUUUCAGUUUCUUACAACUCCUUGUUUAUAAGCCAAAUAAGAUACUCAUAUUUCUUAUUUUGUAAAUCAAUUGUUAAAAGUCAGCUCCCAUACAGAUUGCUGUUGAAUUUAAGAAGUUAAUGUAGAAUUUGUGAGUUGCUUUUAUUUAUUGCUGAAACAAUAUGAAUAUGUAAAUAUACACUAACAGUAGCUUUCAUCAGACUAUCGUGUUUAGUUCUAGAAACCUUUAUCCAAUUAAUUUUGACUUAAUCAGUUGAAAACAUUAUUCGAAAGAUGAUGAUAUUAAAUGUUUUAUUGUAAAUUUGUCUUUAUUUAAUAAAAUAUUCAAAAACUUGAA